UCAAGCUAAAAACGGCUGACGGUGGAUACCUAGGCACGCAGAGGCGAAGAAGGACGUGGUGACCGACGAAACGCUCCGGGGAGCAGGAAGCAAGCAAUGAACCGGAGAUAUCCGAAUGGGGCAACCCUUGAAACAGCUGGUUGAAUAGAUAGACCAGCAUGAGCCAACCGGGCGAACUGAAACAUCUUAGUAGCCCGAGGAAGAGAAAGAAAAUCGAUUCCCCUAGUAGCGGCGAGCGAAGCGGGAAGAGCCUAAACCAAAAGGAAUACCUGUUGGGGUAGUGGGACAGCGACAGGGAAUCAAAUAGCUAGACGAAGCAGGUGAAAACUGCACCAGAGAGAGUGAGAGUCUCGUAGUCGAAAGUGAAAGGAUACUAGCUGGAUCCCGAGUAGCAUGGGGCAGGUGAAAUCCCAUGUGAAUCAGCGAGAACCAUCUCGUAAGGCUAAAUACUCAUGCGUGACCGAUAGUGAACGAGUACCGCGAGGGAAAGGUGAAAAGAACCCCGCAAGGGGAGUGAAAGAGAACGUGAAACCGUCAGCUGACAAGCAGUGGAAGGACGAUUAAACGUCUGACCGCGUGCCUGUUGAAGAAUGAGCCGGCGAGUUAUAAGCACUGGUAGGUGAAGGCAGGUAGCCGCAGCCAGAGCGAAAGCGAGUCUGAAAAGGGCGCAAUAAAUCAGUGUUUAUAGACCCGAACCCGGGUGAUCUAACCAUGUCCAGGAUGAAGCUUGGGUAAAGCCAAGUGGAGGUCCGCACCGACCGAUGUUGAAAAAUCGGCGGAUGAGGUGUGGUUAGGGGUGAAAUGCCAAUCGAACCCGGAGCUAGCUGGUUCUCCCCGAAAUGUGUUGAGGCGCAGCGGUUGUGAAUCAAGUUGGGGGGUAAAGCACUGUUUCGGUGCGGGCUGCUAACGCGGUACCAAAUCGAGACAAACUCUGAAUACCCAGUGAAGACACAGCCAGUGAGACGGUGGGGGAUAAGCUUCAUCGUCAAGAGGGAAACAGCCCAGACCACCAGCUAAGGCCCCCAAAUUGUCGCUGAGUGACAAAGGAGGUGGGAGUGCAUUGACAACCAGGAGGUUUGCCUAGAAGCAGCCACCCUUGAAAGAGUGCGUAAUAGCUCACUGGUCAAGCGCUCCUGCGCCGAAAAUUCAUGGGACUAAGUGACAUGCCGAAGCUGUGGGAUAUUGAAGAUAUCGGUAGGGGAGCGUUCCAUAGUGGAGAGAAGCACUAGCGGCAAGCAGGUGUGGACUAUAUGGAAGCGAGAAUGUCGGCUUGAGUAGCGCAAACAUUGGUGAGAAUCCAAUGCCCCGAAACCCUAAGGGUUCCAGAGCAAGGCUCGUCCGCUCUGGGUUAGUCAGGACCUAAGGCGAGGUCGAAAGACGUAGUCGAUGGACAACGGGUUAACAAUCCCGUACUGAGUGUAAGUAGUGCCGAGGGAAGAAGAAGGUUGACACCAGCUGGAUGUUGGUUACCAGUUCAACUGUACGAGGUGGUGAGUGGCGGAGAAAACGCCAGGAGCUGAGGCAGGAGUAGGAGAGUCCAAGGACUCGAAGUGGUGAAGGUCAUGCUUCCAAGAAAAGCUCAUGGCACGUAAACAUACAAUCACCUGUACCCGAAACCGACACAGGUAGGGAGGUUGAGUAAACCAAGGGGCGCGAGAUAACUCUCUCUAAGGAACUCGGCAAAAUGGCCCCGUAACUUCGGGAGAAGGGGUGCCAAAGCAAUUUGGUCGCAGUGAAGAGGCCCAAGCGACUGUUUACCAAAAACACAGGUCUCCGCGAAGUCGUAAGACGAUGUAUGGGGGCUGACGCCUGCCCAGUGCCGGAAGGUUAAGGAAGUUGGUCAGGGGGAAACCCUAAAGCUGACGACCGAAGCCCCGGUGAACGGCGGCCGUAACUAUAACGGUCCUAAGGUAGCGAAAUUCCUUGUCGGGUAAGUUCCGACCCGCACGAAAGGCGUAACGAUUUGGGCGCUGUCUCGGAGAGAGGCUCGGCGAAAUAGGAUUGUCUGUGAAGAUACGGACUACCUGCACCUGGACAGAAAGACCCUAUGAAGCUUUACUGUAGCCUGGAAUAGGGUUCGGGCUUCGCUUGCGCAGGAUAGGUGGGAGGCGUGGAAGUGCCCCUUGUGGGGGGCAAAGAGCCAACGGUGAGAUACCACUCUGGCGAGGCUAGAAUUCUAACUUAUGCCCGUAAACCGGGAAGAGGACGGUUUCAGGUGGGCAGUUUGACUGGGGCGGUCGCCUCCUAAAAGGUAACGGAGGCGCGCAAUGGUUCCCUCAGCCUGGUUGGAAAUCAGGCUUACGAGUGUAAAGGCAAUUGGGAGCUUGACUGCAAGAGUCACAACUCGAGCAGGGACGAAAGUCGGCCUUAGUGAUCCGACGGUGCCGCGUGGAAGGGCCGUCGCUCAACGGAUAAAAGUUACUCUAGGGAUAACAGGCUGAUCUCCCCCAAGAGUCCACAUCGACGGGGAGGUUUGGCACCUCGAUGUCGGCUCAUCGCAACCUGGGGCGGAAGUACGUCCCAAGGGUUGGGCUGUUCGCCCAUUAAAGCGGUACGUGAGCUGGGUUCAGAACGUCGUGAGACAGUUCGGUCCAUAUCCGGUGCAGGCGCAAGAGCAUUGCGAGGAGUCCUCCUUAGUACGAGAGGACCGGGAGGAACGCACCGCUGGUGUACCUGUUAUCGUGCCCACGGUAAACGCAGGGUAGCCAAGUGCGGAGCGGAUAACCGCUGAAAGCAUCUAAGUGGGAAGCCCACCUCAAGAUGAGUGCUCUCAUGGAGUUAAUCCAGUAAGGUCACGGGUAGAACACCCGUUGAUAGGCGUCAGGUGGAAGUGCAGUAAUGUAUGCAGCCCAGGCGUCCUAAUAGACCGAGGGCUUGACCU
Molecule: ribosomal RNA, 2881 nt
Filed under: Microseira wollei NIES-4236
Lineage: Bacteria; Bacillati; Cyanobacteriota; Cyanophyceae; Aerosakkonematales; Aerosakkonemataceae
Description: 23S ribosomal RNA
Rfam family: Bacterial large subunit ribosomal RNA
Source: RNAcentral